UCGCAUAAAGAGACAUGUAAAGAUGGCAUGCGUGAGACAAAGGAGACGACGGAUGGCUCACGUGUGAUCUAGAGGGUGAAGGCAAACUUUACUCACCAUUGGCAUGAGUCUCACUCUCACUGACCUCCUGUACCAUCUUUGCCAGGUUUUCAAACGAGGAACCACCCACUUCCAUGGUCUUUCUAGAAGACACAGAGAGCUCACUAGCUCUAGCCGCGGCACGUCUCCCUUCCUCUCCGAAGAUCAACUCCCUUGCCAACACCUGCACGUCUCCACUCACAACCAAUCCACCGCCUUCCUUGUCCGCGUCUUCUUUN
Molecule: long non-coding RNA, 317 nt
Filed under: Hordeum vulgare
Lineage: Eukaryota; Viridiplantae; Streptophyta; Magnoliopsida; Poales; Poaceae
Description: long non-coding RNA (HVUL_LNC021290)
Source: RNAcentral